Molecule: ribosomal RNA, 253 nt
Filed under: uncultured bacterium
Lineage: Bacteria
Description: partial 16S ribosomal RNA
Rfam family: Bacterial small subunit ribosomal RNA
Source: RNAcentral
UACGAGUGGUGCAAGCGUUAUUCGGAAUUACUGGGCGUAAAGGGUGCGUAGGUGGCAUAUUAAGUCAACUGUUAAAUUCCCCGGCUUAACUGGGGGUCAGCGGUAGAAACUGAUAUGCUAGAGGUUGGAAGAGAGAAGUGGAAUUCUUGGAGUAGCGGUAAAAUGCGUAGAUCUCAAGAGGAACACCGAUGGCGAAGGCAGCUUCUUGGUCCAUACCUGACACUGAGGCACGAAAGCGCGGGGAGCAAACAGG